This 253-nucleotide ribosomal RNA is filed under the name uncultured bacterium. RNAcentral's name for it is "partial 16S ribosomal RNA". It matches the Rfam family "Bacterial small subunit ribosomal RNA", at positions 524 to 776 of the family's 1533-position model. The record is from RNAcentral.
UACGAAGGUCCCGAGCGUUAUCCGGAUUUAUUGGGUUUAAAGGGUGCGUAGGCGGGUUAUUAAGUCAGUGGUGAAAGCCUACAGCUUAACUGUAGAAUUGCCAUUGAUACUGAUGAUCUUGAGUAUGAUUGAGGUGGGCGGAAUGUGUCAUGUAGCGGUGAAAUGCUUAGAUAUGACACAGAACGCCGAUUGCGAAGGCAGCUCACUAAGUCACAACUGACGCUGAUGCACGAAAGCGUGGGGAGCAAACAGG